CUACGGGGGGCUGCAGUCGAGAAUCUUCCGCAAUGGACGAAAGUCUGACGGAGCGACGCCGCGUGGUCGAUGAAGUCCUUAGGGACGUAAAGACCUUUUAUGAGGGAGGAAGUUUAUUGACGUUACCUCAUGAAUAAGGGGCUCCCAACUCUGUGCCAGCAGGAGCGGUAAUACAGAGGCCCCAAGCAUUAUCCGGAUUUACUGGACGUAAAGGGUGCGUAGGCGGCGUGAUUAGUCAGAUGUUAAAUCCUGGGGCUCAACCCCAGACUCGCAUUUGAAACGGUCAUGCUAGAAGAAGUCAGAGGUAAGCAGAACUCUCGGUGUAGGGGUGAAAUCCGUUGAUAUCGAGGGGAAUACCAAAUGCGAGGGCAGCUUACUGGGACUUUCUUGACGCUGAGGCACGAAAGCGUGGGUAGCGAAUCGGAUUAGAUACCCCAGUAGUC
This 443-nucleotide ribosomal RNA is filed under the name uncultured bacterium. RNAcentral describes it as "partial 16S ribosomal RNA". It matches the Rfam family "Bacterial small subunit ribosomal RNA", at positions 339 to 795 of the family's 1533-position model. The record is from RNAcentral.